RNAcentral lists this transfer RNA (68 nucleotides) under Salmonella enterica subsp. enterica. RNAcentral describes it as "tRNA-Met". The stretch from base 6 to 62 matches the Rfam family "tRNA", at positions 9 to 63 of the family's 71-position model. From Rfam's summary of the family: Transfer RNA (tRNA) molecules are approximately 80 nucleotides in length. Their secondary structure includes four short double-helical elements and three loops (D, anti-codon, and T loops). The record is from RNAcentral. Lineage: Bacteria; Pseudomonadati; Pseudomonadota; Gammaproteobacteria; Enterobacterales; Enterobacteriaceae.
GCGUGAAAGCAGCCCGUAGCCUGUCGGGCUCAUAACCCGAAGGUCGUCGGUUCAAAUCCGCCCCCGCA